GAUGAACGCGGCGGCGUGCUUAACACAUGCAAGUCGAACGGGAUCCCGGGGGUUCGCUUCCGGGUGAGAGUGGCGAACGGGUGAGUAAUGCGUGACCGACCUGCCCCAUACACCGGAAUAGCUCCUGGAAACGGGUGGUAAUGCCGGAUGCUCCGGUUGGAUGCAUGUCCUUCCGGGAAAGAUUCUAUCGGUAUGGGAUGGGGUCGCGUCCUAUCAGCUUGAUGGCGGGGUAACGGCCCACCAUGGCUUCGACGGGUAGCCGGCCUGAGAGGGCGACCGGCCACAUUGGGACUGAGAUACGGCCCAGACUCCUACGGGAGGCAGCAGUGGGGAAUAUUGCACAAUGGGCGCAAGCCUGAUGCAGCGACGCCGCGUGCGGGAUGGAGGCCUUCGGGUUGUAAACCGCUUUUGAUCGGGAGCAAGCCCUUCGGGGUGA
This 436-nucleotide ribosomal RNA is filed under the name Bifidobacterium dentium. RNAcentral's name for it is "bacterial SSU rRNA". It matches the Rfam family "Bacterial small subunit ribosomal RNA", at positions 28 to 463 of the family's 1533-position model. Lineage: Bacteria; Bacillati; Actinomycetota; Actinomycetes; Bifidobacteriales; Bifidobacteriaceae. The record is from RNAcentral.